AGCAGCAGCGGUGAUUCUGAUUCUGAAAGCGGCAAUGAGAUCUGCUGCAAAUUGGGUGUGGUUCUCAUUAAGCAGGGAGGUGAAGAAGCGUACUGGCUCCAAGAAUCACUAAGGGAAACCAUUCACUGUAGAGUGAUGUGUGGUCUGAUUAUUAAGCGGCGAAAG
RNAcentral lists this ribosomal RNA (165 nucleotides) under Ditylum brightwellii. Its description in RNAcentral is "partial Microsporidia small subunit ribosomal RNA". Lineage: Eukaryota; Bacillariophyta; Thalassiosirophyceae; Lithodesmiales; Lithodesmiaceae. The record is from RNAcentral.